UAAUUUUCGUCGGCUUGUGAACUCCGCCAGGACAGAAAUGUAGCAACGGUAGCAAGCCGGCCUGGAAAAGUUAU
This 74-nucleotide signal recognition particle RNA is filed under the name bacterium. Its description in RNAcentral is "signal recognition particle sRNA small type". It matches the Rfam family "Bacterial small signal recognition particle RNA". Rfam says of the family: The signal recognition particle (SRP) is a universally conserved ribonucleoprotein involved in the co-translational targeting of proteins to membranes. Archaeal SRP consists of a 7S RNA and homologues of the eukaryotic SRP19 and SRP54 proteins. In most bacteria, the SRP consists of a 4.5S RNA and the Ffh protein (a homologue of the eukaryotic SRP54 protein). RNAcentral also lists the same sequence under 1 other name. The record is from RNAcentral.